GCGGAGGGAUCAUUACUGAGUGAGGGCCUUCGGGCUCGACCUCCAACCCUUUGUGAACACAACUUGUUGCUUCGGGGGCGACCCUGCCGUUUCGACGGCGAGCGCCCCCGGAGACCAUCAAACACUGCAUCUUUGCGUCGGAGUUUAAGCAAAUUAAACAAAACUUUCAACAACGGAUCUCUUGGUUCUGGCAUCGAUGAAGAACGCAGCGAAAUGCGAUAAGUAAUGUGAAUUGCAGAAUUCAGUGAAUCAUCGAAUCUUUGAACGCACAUUGCGCCCUUUGGUAUUCCGAAGGGCAUGCCUGUUCGAGCGUCAUUUCACCACUCAAGCCUGGCUUGGUAUUGGGCGCCGCGGUCAAUCCGCGCGCCUCAAAGUCUCCGGCUGAGCUGUCCGUCUCUAAGCGUUGUGAUUUCAUUAAUCGCUUCGGAGUGCGGGCGGCCGCGGCCGUUAAAUCUUUCACAAGGUUGACCUCGGAUCAGGUAGGGAUACCCGCUG
This 495-nucleotide ribosomal RNA is filed under the name Septoria cerastii. RNAcentral's name for it is "eukaryotic LSU rRNA". The stretch from base 162 to 315 matches the Rfam family "5.8S ribosomal RNA". Lineage: Eukaryota; Fungi; Ascomycota; Dothideomycetes; Mycosphaerellales; Mycosphaerellaceae. The record is from RNAcentral.